CGUGACCCACAAACUACAAGAUCGAGGAGCCCCCAGAAAUGCAGACCCUCUGGACAUAUGGCUGCAGCAGCAUGGCGUGUGAUCUGGAUGGUCAUGUCAGGCUCCACCGUCGCAGAUUACUAGACGGACCAAAUGAGGCCAAAAACUAGCCUUUCCUCGCUCCUUUCCUGGGAAGUGAAAUAGCAGGGGAUCAUGUAAGAAUGAACUUGCAACAUGUGAGCAGUAGCCAAAGCUCCAUACAGGUGAUGCUGGUGGU
This 256-nucleotide long non-coding RNA is filed under the name Dermacentor andersoni. RNAcentral describes it as "uncharacterized LOC126525161". Lineage: Eukaryota; Metazoa; Arthropoda; Arachnida; Ixodida; Ixodidae. The record is from RNAcentral.